UACGUAGGGGGCAAGCGUUGUCCGGAAUUAUUGGGCGUAAAGCGCGCGCAGGCGGUCCUUUAAGUCUGAUGUGAAAGCCCACGGCUCAACCGUGGAGGGUCAUUGGAAACUGGGGGACUUGAGUACAGAAGAGAAGAGUGGAAUUCCGAGUGUAGCGGCGAAAUGCGUAGAUAUGUGGAGGAACACCAGUGGCGAAGGCGACUCUUUGGUCUGUAACUGACGCUGAGGCGCGAAAGCGUGGGGAGCAAACAGG
This 253-nucleotide ribosomal RNA is filed under the name uncultured bacterium. Its description in RNAcentral is "partial 16S ribosomal RNA". It matches the Rfam family "Bacterial small subunit ribosomal RNA", at positions 524 to 776 of the family's 1533-position model. The record is from RNAcentral.